This 33148-nucleotide long non-coding RNA is filed under the name Linum usitatissimum (flax). Its description in RNAcentral is "long non-coding RNA (LUSI_LNC005075)". Lineage: Eukaryota; Viridiplantae; Streptophyta; Magnoliopsida; Malpighiales; Linaceae. The record is from RNAcentral.
ACACAUAAUUUUACCAUCAGAAUAAUUCCACUUCAAUACAUUGUAGUUGUUACGGUAAGGUUAAGUAAAAAUGAAAACCAAACUCUUAAUUUUAAUUUAAUCAUAUAGUUAAAGAAUUUCCAAAUAAGAAUAUGAACAAAAAUGUAAACAUCUAAUUCUAGCUAUUAUUCAAUUCCCAAAGCCACGUUACACAACAACACCAUCACAUGACUAACCACAAACAUAAACAGAAAAGAACCAGAUAGAAAAACAACAAGUACAACUGCAACAUAAUUAAUUAACACGCAGAUUUUUCAGCGGCGGGGAAUUAAACUAAAAUAAAAAAACAUGCAUAAUUAUUUUCAAUUUUCAUCCAUUUACUUCUUGGCAGUGGCGUUGUGGAUGGCCUGCUUCCCCUGCUCGACGUAGUGGGUGGUGCCGGCGACGACUGUGUCCUUAACGCCGAUCGCCCCCUCCUUGGUGUUGGCCACGAUCCCCGGGCCGGCCGGUGCAACCACGGCUGGCUUCUUCUCCUCGGCCUUGCCGCCGCCGGGCAUCAUGUCUUGGGCUUUCUUCAAUAGUCCGUCCAUAUCUAGUUAUAAACAAGUAGGAUUCAAAGAGAUGGGAAAUUGGUACGUAAGAGAUUUUAGUGUGUUUUGAUGGGUUUCAUGGGAUAUAUGGUACGUACUAGUUAUAUAGUGGUACAAAUUUUGGGAAGUUUGGAAGAUAUUUUGAUUGGCUUUUGCUGUGUGUGGCUUACAAUUGGCUUGCCGACAUCGAAAUGAACAGGUUCUACGUGAUAGUCUUUACACGUUGCUCUUUGCUGCUUUUUCUUUAACAUGAAUAUAUACUGAUAAAAGGUGGGACCAUUUAUGAGCCGGGCAGCUCGAUCGCAAGCAGUUCGGUUUAAAUAUUCGCUUUUGAAAUUGGUUUAAUUUGACCUGAUAGAUUCAUGAGCUAAUUCGAGUUCGAGAAUCAGGUCUAGUAUAUGGAUCAUUUGUAAAUUUAAUAAUGUAGUGUGUACAUGAUUGCUUCAAAUUACGUACGGUAAAUCACAUGUAAUUUGUAAUUAUGCUAAUGAAAAUACUGGUACAUCGUUUAAGUUUAAUUAACCAUCUUAAGUGGGAAAAGUAUAAACUUGUAAAGUUUUAGGAUAAUUUUUUCUUUUAGGUUUGACUCAUCGAAGUUUCUAGUGUACAAGCUUCCAAUUCUCCGUCCAAAUUGGACUCAUUGGGGGUUUUUUAAGAGUAAAGUUCGAGAUGACCUCGAGUUUCAUUCGCCAAGGUUAGUUAACGAGGCAAAUUUGAAUAAGCUCUAACUCGACAUAAGUUAAAAUAUUUUAACUCAAACACGUUUAAAAAAUAAUUAACUAAUAUUCUUAAACACGAUAAAUUUUGACUCGAAUCGAUUUGUAAACCGUCUUAAAAAUGAUGAUGAGUGAGAUUAUAUAUAUAGAUAAUUUGAAUGGUUUUAUGCAUAUAGAUUGAUAAUUUGGAUUAUUUUUUGUUAGUUGUGGUUUGCUUUGAGUGCCUUUUUUAACUUGUUGUGGAGUAGUCAUAAGAGUAGUAGCUUGCCACACACAGUCUAUACUCUGUACGAUGUGGCUUUAAUUGAUGGGAAGCCAAUCAAGAUCAUGGGUUGGUUUUUGUCAGCUUUUAUAAUAAUCUGACUGAAUUAUUUGAUUUUGAGUCAUAAUAUCUAACCGAAAAAUAUUUAGGAUAGGACCAGAAAAAGCCAACACAAGUAUAGUUGCCGACAUACNNNNNNNNNNNNNNNNNNNUAAUAAUGUCGACCACUGAGAGGUUUUGUGGAUAUGCUUUCGAGAUGCCUCAUAGCCAAUGCCAUAUUUUGCUUCUUCUUGGAAUUAUUUGUAAAAAUAUACUAAACCUACGGAAAUANNNNNNNNNNNNNNNNNNNNNNNNNNNNNNNNNNNNNNNNNNGGAAAUAUUAAAGUCGAUAAUCCGGAUUUGAAGGGUGCUUUGGUCUCAUUGUUUGUUUUAAGUAAAUUUUUAAAAUAUUUGUACAGUUCUCCAUUCUUAAUAUAGCUUACUUUUGUUGAUAAAAAAAAAUAAGGGGAACUAAUUUUUUCAUUUUCACCAAAUUCUAAUUUUAUUCCACAUUCCGCCUCAUAAAAUACCAACAGAUCACUAAUUUAUGAGGAAUGAGUGUUUAAAAAGAUACAUAUGUUGAUUUUAUGUUUAGCGAUGUGUGAUACACGAUUAAGUAUAUAAUUUACCAUCACAUUUUGUCGUACGUUGAUGUUUACGUUUACCCAUUUUGAUUGAUCCAAUGUAUAUGCUAUGAGUUUUUCAUGUUCCCCGCAUCCUCGGCUCGUUCAUUUCACAAAUAUAGGUUAGGUGCAUGAAACAGAUUUNNNNNNNNNNNNNNNNNNNNNNNNNNNNNNNACAGAUUUUAAUAUUAAUCGAUACAAUCCUUUCCAUAUAACUCAUUUUUAAAAAAUUUAGCUUCAAAGAAAAUGAUGUCCAAAAGAUUAUAAGCUCGAAUGCAUGACAUGUACCAUAAUUAGUUAUGUGAUACUAAUCAAUUAUCCGCGGCAGAAGUGUUAUUAAUUAAAAUAAAGAUCGAUUUAGUCUUCGGUUUUAGACAUUUUGGUGGUCGAAUACAAACUCUUGAUGAGUAACACAAAAUCCAAAUCCAAAAUCUAAAAUCCAAAAUUGAAAACCCAGUACUCUAGACGCUAAACUUUAAAAUCCAAAAUAAAAAAUCGAAACCAACCACUAAACCCAAACUCAAACCGAAACAAAUAAUAAAUUAAAUAAUUUUGUUGAAAAGACUUCCGUGUCCUUCUUAUGCAGACGUUAGAUCUGUCAAAGUGCAAAACCCAUAAAAUUUAACGGUCUAGAAUCAUCCUGGAAUGUUUUUCCGCCUGGAUUUUAAACCUGGCUCAAAAAGCUCGAUAGAACGAAUCGGGUAGAGCAACCGUAUAGAAUGUUUAUAUUGUUUGAUGUGCGUUAAUGAGAGUAAUGUUUUAAUCUCCCCGUGGCGAGCCCUGAGUGACUUGGGGGUGUCGAGACUAAUCAGGGUCGUUUGAGCGUCCAACUGUAAUCGAGGGAGAAAUCCUAGCGGGAAGGAAACCUUUCGACAGUUCGGCGCCUCGAGUGGCCAAGCUGUUGCUCCGAGGCUGAUAUAACUGAGAUUUUAUAAGUUAAUUAAAUUAAAAACAUGUUUUAAUUUAAUUAAACAAAUACCAUGAAAUAGUGAAGCAGAAAAAUCAAAACAGAAACAAAACACCACAAAAUGUGAGUACAAACUGGAAAAAGAAACACAUUACGGAGGUCGAUCGGUGAAGACGGUAGGGUAGUGAGCAUUUAAAUUGUUUCUCCUUCACUUUGUUUUAUUCCGAUGAUUUGAGUAAACAUCAAAGCUGUCCGAAACCGAUAGGAGAUACGAAUCUAGAGUCGUUCCCGAAAAACGCAUUGGCCGAUAAUUUGGUGACGAACUCCGUCGGGUGGAAGCCAUCCCAAAACAAAUGCUCGUCUCGAUUCUGACAAAGUGUAGAUGUUUGGUUGCACACCCCGCUUCCUUCUCCGCAACACGGGACUUCCACCUCCUUCAAACCUGCACAUCGGUUGUUCCAAGUAUGGAUAGUUGAUAUUCAUUAUUUGUUUUAGUAUAUAGUUGAGUCAUUAUUAACUAUAUUUUUACCAAAAUCGGCACCGUGGCUGAUGAAAUCCAUAGUGAUGUUGAAGGCGUUACCGAGGGAGAACUUAACGUCGGGAGCUAACUCCGCAAGCUUCUUAGAUGCCAGAGUGAAGCCGUCGAAGAAAGCUUGAGCCAGCAAAUUCGCUCCAUCGAAGCAGCCGCUGGUUUCAUUGAACGAUCGCGCAAAUGGGCAGCACCCAAGUGCCGGAAUCAUCACUAUGGCGAACUUCUUUGCUCCUUUUAUAUACAAUUCCUGCCCAAUGUAACGUAUUUCGGUAUCAUUCAUUCCGAAAUCAUUUUCUAACCACUCAAAUUAUAUUGAGAUUAAUUGGUCAAUAGUAUUAAAUAUUUUAUUUUAUUAUAGAUCCCACUUUACCAAAAAUCUAGCUAACCUGAAGAUGGCCUCCGUAUUCCGUAAUCAAAGAGGUGACCAACUCCUCGCCGGAGACGUUGAAAUUGGGAGCAGCGGGGAAGGAAGAGAUAUUCCGUAGGUAAUCGAAGAUGUCGUUGCUUCCAACGCUGAUGAGAAACACGGACUCCGCGAUCAGCUUGGCGGCUGCUGUCGGCCCUAACAAUGCUGACAGGUUUGCGGCUACCGUCGUAAAUUGUUCUAUCUGGGUUUUCAAAGGAACCACCUGCAAAACAUUUUGAUCCACCGAGAUUUGAGUUAUAGUACCAACAAUUUUUUGUAUCAGAUAUAUCGAACUGGUAAGGCUAAUUCAAUACUUACUCCGAUGGUAGAGCCGGUCGAGUCGAAAAUUCCACAGCCGGCCGAGGCGAAGUUGACGCCCUUCGUUAUGGUUUCGUUGAAUUUUUUACUGCAGGCCCCGCCGGCGACGAGAGAGAGGAACGGCGGCGGACUUCCGGUGAACCCCAUUUUCUUUCCUGUCGCGGGAAAAAAUGAAAUAGAAUAACGGUUAGUUCUACAUAGUCAAUGUGAGCUGUGAUCGAGCCCACGGGCCCAACAUGGUCUAUGGUAGUAAGCCCUCAAGCUCAAGAAGGAAGCUGCUGUUGAUUAGAGCGGGUCACGAAUCGCGCUGGGCCCAAUUUAGGUUCGUUAAUGUUUAGCGAAUUUGAGCAAGACAAUUUUGGUUUGUGUCGAGUUUGAGCUGACUCGUUAAAUAUCAUUGACGGGUCAAACUCGAGGUCAGCUCGAACUUCGUUCAUAAAAAUCUCUAAUGAAAAUCUAAUUUAAGCAAAAUUUAUAUGGAUAAGUCAAGUUAAAAAGGUGCUAUGAUGGUUACCAAUUUGGUCAGCAAGAUUGAAGCCAUUGCUGAACCUUCCAAUGGGCAAAGAAGAAGAAGAAUCAAUGCCAUAAAACGGGAAGCUAGCGGUCGCCGUGCUGGCCGGCAAGUAAUCAUUGGUCCCGACAUCGACUAUCGAGUCCCCAAAUACGUACACCGCCGGGAAAGUACAAGCUGACGGCGAUGAGCAUGAAACACAGAUGUGGUUGUUAUCAAUAUUGAGAACCAAGAAGCAAACAAGUAGUAUUGCCGACAAAACCCUGAAUUUCGUCGCCAUUAAUUUUUCAAUUCCUUUGUGUUUGGUUUGGGGGUUCUCGAUCCUGGGCGGCUCCUAUUUAUAAACGAGACACGUGUCUUUGAAUUCUAUGUCGAAUAUCUAUUUGCGGCUGAUUAAUUUACAAUUUACAUGUUUGUUUUUCUUUUCUCGUCCGGUUAUAAUUUAAUGUUACUUCAGAGGCGAGUUUUACGAUUGGAAGAACAUUUAGGUGUAGACGUCCAAGCCCUAGGUCGUCGGCGGAUCUUGUUAGAUUUUGUACUUUGGUGUUCUGUUUCUUCCUGCGGAAUGGACUAAUGAAGUUUUGUCAUUUUGAUUUCACUUUUUUUAUAUAGAGUUUUAUCGUAAAACCUUCAAUGAUAGAUUGUAAUCAUUAGUAAAAAAUAAAAUAGAAUAGCGCAACAUUUAAAUAAACAGUACGGAAAUAAUCAACAUUCGCAAAGAGAAGGUUAAACGCAGGAUGGAAACCAAAGGGAAGAGAGUGCUCAUAGUGGGCAAGGACAUUCACGACGUGCGCGGUUGCUUUCACGAAAAAGUGUGUGUGAUAUGCACAACUCAAUUUCUCUUCAGGAGUUGCUGCGUCUCCAUAAUGUAAGAGAGAUGUCGAAAAUCAUCAGAAGGGUGAUCUCCCAGAACACUUGAAAUUGUACAUUGAGAAUCCAGUUGCAAGGUCACCUUUCAAAAGCCCCGAUCCCAAGCAAGUACAGUAGGGUUUACAAGGAGAGAGUGAGUGAACUUCGCAAGUAUAGACCUUAGAGAGUGGUUUACAAAUGAUUAUUUUCUGAGUUGCGCGAUAAUUAGUGGUUUGGGAGAGCGGCUUAGCUUGUCACCUAAAAUUUAUUACGAUCUACUGGUCUAGUUGGUUCGCAAGUUUGAGUCAACUCGAAUCGAGCUAUGAAGACGAAUCAAAAUUACCUCAAGUUCAACUCAUUUAAUUUACUAUUAAAUCAAACCUUUUCGAACUUUAUAAUAGUUUUCGAAACCAAAUACGGGACGGCGGACGAAUAGCUUGUAAAUACAAAGAGUUAGCCGGUGAGAAUAAAUGCUGCUAAAUGCUGUAUAUUAACCAACGGGCAAAACAAAAGCAUACGUGGGGAAUCGAUAAGAAUUAAGAUGAAUAAGAGUACAAGAUGAUCAUUUGAUCAUGCACUUCGAUGUAAUAUGUCGGAUGACUUCUGGGGACUAUACAUUACUUUAAAUAAUGACACACACUUCUUACCAAUAAUAAUAAUAAUAAUAAUAAUGACACACACUAACUACACUUUAUAUUAUUAUUGUAUUCUUCCGAACAACAUUGGUGUAUUUUAGGACAUUUUGGAUAGUCAUGUUUGGAAUUUUUGGGUAUAUUUUUCGUGUGGAUUUACAGUAUAUGAUUUUUUUACGAUAAUUCGAUAAAUAUCCACAUCACAUGCAGACGGUAUCAUAAAUACAUAGCUACCCCUUUACAUAAGUCAGUCAGUGAUAAAACGAUCAGCAUUGUCACAUUUAUUUUUAGUUAUAAAAUAUUCUUGUUAAUGUACGAUAAAUGUUGGUGAUAAAACGGUGUUAUAUCCACCACCGACGAUUUUUGCCGUCCUUUUCUCUUCCAAUUUUUAUUAAGAAUCGUUUGGUCCCAAUAAUACUUGAGUUUAAUAUAGAUUUUUAAAAUACAUAGAUACAUAGCACAUGAUUCAUAUUCAUUAUUCAUCAGCUGAUCAAGCAACCAACUGCAAAAACUAACCAUCUAGAUAGUACUUUAGAUGUUUUAUUUUCCAUUGGAAGACCACCCUCGAAUUUCAACAGCUCAACUUGUUAACCAGCUGUUUCAAACUCACACCCUCGCCAACAUCCUUCCUAACCUGUUCCUUAAUCUCCCCAGCAACCUUCCUCAGCUUCACAUCCUCCAUCAACACCUUAAUCCUCUCCCCAAUCUCUUCCCCCUUCACCAAGAAAUCUCCCAUCCAACCCCAUUCCCCACCCAUAAACCCUAGCCCACACCUCUCCACCACCUCCCCAUUGACCAUCUGAUCUCCACCAGGCGGCCACCCCAUCAUAGGAACACCAAACCACGCAGAUUCCACCACAGAGUUCCACCCGCAAUGGCUCAAAAACCCUCCCACCGAUUCGUGCCCAAUCACUUCGGCUUGAUCCACCCACUCCUUCACCACCACCCCUCUCUUCCCAACCUCCUCCGUCAUCUCCUCUCCCAAAACAUCUUCCAACGCCUCUUUGUCGUUUUGGUCCACCACUUUGUCCUUCACCACCCAGACGAAAUGAACCCCUGACCGGAUCAGCCCUUUUCCCAACUCCUUGAUCUGGUCUCUUGGCAGAGUCGUCCUGCUCCCGAAGCUCACGUACACAACGGAUUUCGCUGGCUUCCCUUCUAACCACUUCAACGCCAUUUCUGUUCCUGUUGUUGGAAUAAAAAUCACUAGUUUACCAAUUGUGUUUAUUGUGUCAUGGCCUCAUGGGUACUAAAAUGUUAUGAUAUAAAGUGUAGAAUAUCCUAAAAUUCAUCAAUAAUUAAACGAGGGGCUAAACUGUAAAUGACAAAAUAGCUACCACCAUUGGUUAUAGACAGGGUUAUGGUCCCCAAGAAUCGGAUACCAACUCAUUUUUUCAUAUCCAAUUAAAGAAAUUUUAAGAAAGAGAGAAAACUACAUUCUUCAUCAAAGAUCUUUCUGUACUUCCUGCAUUUGUUCUUCCAUUAUAGCAUGAAAUUAAUGACUCUGCUACUAAGGCAUCGAUUUUAGGUCGAAACUGGACCAAUUUAUAAUACGUGCGUCCAAUUCUGUCGAAUAUGUUAUCUGAACACAAAACAUGACCGGGUUCAAUUUAGAAUAAUUGCAAAUUCCAACUUGAAUAUGAACAUAAUUGUUUAUUUAUCGAUAUUUUCAUGCAAAGGUUUAAGGGGCAAUAAAGACAAAACACCUGAGCCUCUUUCUAACUUGGUCUCGAACCCAUGGGGGAUCAGUCCGAUGUUGAACAGAGGAGGUAAACGGUCAUCUACUUCCCCUGUUCUGAUCGCUUUCAGAGCUUCAGAUUCCAGGCAGUCAAACGAGUUUAUCACCACUCCGUCGAAUUUGGAGAGGCACUCGCCGCUGGAUUUGAACAAGCUGGAGAACAGAGUCUCCGGGUUCAGAAGCACCGGCGGGACCGACGAUCUCGGCACGUCUCCAAUUCCGGGGACUUCGAAUUUCCCGGCGGAUUCGAGUUGGGUUUUGGAUAAACUAGGGUAAUGGGAGAGAAAAGAGAACAUUCUGGCCGAGGACACGUAGAGGAUGUAGUUAGGGAUGUUGAGAGGUUGGGUGACGGAGAUGGUGGAGGAGAGUAAGGAUACGUCGGAGAACAGAGCAGCUGGCGGCGGGGAAAGGGAAGAGAGGAUGGAAGAUAAGUUUGGGAGGGAUCGGCGAAUGGCUUCCCACUGGAGGCAAAAGGGGUCGGUGGAGUUGGCGGUGGACGGGUCUAUCGGGAGGAUGUGGAAUUGCUGCUCGGAGACUUGUGGGUAAGCGGCGAGGAAUUUGGAGAUUAGUGAUGACUCUGCCUGAGAUACGAUUGGGUGGCUGGUGAUUAGGGUGACGUGGCAGUCUUGACUCAGUAAGUUUGCGGCUAGGCGGAGGAAUGGCAUGAGGUGGCCGGCGCCAGAGCUUGGGAGUAGGGCGACGUGGGGAGAGGGCCGGCGAUGGAGGGAAUCGGCGGUGGUUGUUGUUGACAUGGCGGCGGCUUUGAAUUGGAAUGGUAGUCGGAGGGGGGGAAGGUUGAGGUUUUGGUGAUCGAAUGAGCGACGUAGUUGGAUGCUUUUGUAGGAGUUUUGUCGGUAGCGGUGAAAACGAUUUUUUACUGCGGAACACCGUUAAAAAAAAUAUGUUAAUUGUUUCGGAAUUCAUAUAAGGAAGUUACAAAAUUUAUUGUUGCUCACUUAUAGGUUAUAUUUGGUCGCGUACAUCUUUGUUGUUGAUUGGUUGGCGUGAACUCUAAAAAUAUGUUUCAAUUUGACCCCUUAGACGAUAUGAUAUGAGCAAUAUUACCUCGUGGUAAAACAAUAUUACCAUGAACAACAUUCAAUUUGACACCUUUAUCUUGGUUGUUGGUUGCGGUUAGGAGAGUUUAAUAUUUCAUAAAUGCAAAUUUCAACUGUGAUGGAGUUGAAAGUGACUCCCUUUAACUGCAAUUUGCAGCAGAACUUGAUUUCAUUUUCAUAAUUAAUAUAUAUAGUAAUAAUUGUCUAAAUUGGAAUUUUGAUUUUAAAUCUUAUUUAUUUGUAUUAGCAUCAUUCUUCGUCUCCAAUUCAACAAACUUAUAUAUGGUGUAUAUAUAAGUUUGGAUCACUAUUAAUAAGACUACCCCACCAACCCAACCACUCCCAUUAAAUUAUUAUUGUGCCCUGUACACCCUGCAAUGGUCCACUGUGUUUAUGAGCAUUGCAUGGAAUGCGGAUCCAAGAUCAAACCAUACACCGAGCUAAAUAUUGAAAUUUAUAUAUCAAAAUAAUCCAUUUAUAAAUAUAUAUUUUUUAUUAUUUUUAGAGAAGCUAAUCAAGUGGCACACCGUUUGGCUCAUCUGCUGCCCAUUCAUUCGUGUUUUUGUGAUUGGACUGCUUUUUUUUCUUCCAUCGGCCAUUGUCAAUGUGGUAGCCUGCGAAACGAUUCACUCAUUAUUCUUAAUGUAAGUUGUUUUUCAUAAAAAAAAGUUGUCCUUAAAGAUUAAAUAUAUCAUCAAUAACUUUUUUUACUAACCAAACAGUGGGCAAGCUGAAAUUAGGAUUAGCAUAUAUUGAGUAGGUAUUUAGCCGAAACAACAAAAUAUUUAACCGAAUUUAAAAUUACCAUGAACCAUAUUCAAAAUAAUUAUAAAUAUAUAUUGAAAUUAGGAUUAGAGCCGAAAUUUAUCUAGAGCCGUGACUAUAUAGUCACCCCUAUAUCGGUCCCUGUAAUGCAAUCAAUGAAUAAGACAUUCUUCCCGUGAAUGUUGAAACAAGCAAGGACGGUAUAUAUAUUUCCUCUGGAACUUUUUCCAUUCACUUGUGACCAACUCAUCGGUUCCAGAAGAUAAUAUUUCAAGGACCAACUUUCCUGUCACAAAUAAUAGUUGUUGGCGACACUGAAAUCUGUCGUUGAUAAUGUAAUUUCCCGACGACCAAAAGAUUCAUCCCAGAAGGUUAGUAGUUUUAGUUCUAUGGCAAACGGAUGAUCAUAUUUCAGAUGUAUGAGGAUUUUAAUUAAUCGAACAUUCAGAGUUUUUAUCUUGGAUUUUUGACCUUACCUCCAACCCGUUAAGGUAAAACAACAUUUUUUUUUUAUAUUUUUCGAUAAAUCUGUCGUUUGUCCAUUUCGACAAAAAAUCCUCCAAUUUCAAAAUUUCAAUACUCUUUUUUCUUUUUUAAUUUAUGCUUCAUCAUCGUCAAUAUCUCCUUUUUCUUCUUUGAUGUAGUAGAUAAUCAAUCAAUGAUUCUUCAUUAUUAGUUAUCAGAGUUUGUGAUUCAUCAAACUUAAAGAGUAUUUGGUUGGUUUUCCAGUUAAUAAUAACUGAGGGUUAAAAACAUCAAUUCAAUCAAAUAUAAUAAUGGUAUUAAAUCAAAUUUAAUAACUUUUUACUGUAGCGGUUAUUAACAAUUAAACAAUAGAUAUACACUAACUGAAAUCGAUCCGAACUGUUGCCAAACCUACCCUUUGCCACGAAAAUGACCACAUCGAUAGGACACGAAGUCGGAGAAUUCAAAAUUUAAAUUGUGAAUCAGCCGCACAAAUACGGUGCGUUUUAGCUUUUAUUUCUUGUUGUUUAAGCCAGAAAAGAAAAAAGGGUAAGCAAGUCAAUAUUCUCUUUCACCGCUUUCUCAAACUCCCCGGAAAAACCUCUUCUAAACCUCCUUUCUAGAGUUCUCUCAUCAACACCGCCGGCGAUUGAGAUGGAGAUAGAUCCUCCGAUGCAAGCUUCCGAGCUCUCUCAGAUCAAAGACGAAGACCUCUUCAAAGCCGCCGAGACCGGCGAGUGUUCGGUCCUCAGCUCGCUCCCUCCGCCGCAGCUCACCAAAUCCCUCUCCCUCCGGAACGAUGACCGCCGCUCCCUCCUCCACGUCGCCUCUUCCUCCUCCUCCACGUCGCCUCUUCCUCCGGCCACCCCGAGGUACUCCGAUUCGUGAAUCGAUUUCCAAAUUUGUUAUGUUCGUUGCUAAUGCGAAACCAAAUUUGAUAAUUAUCAGGCGGUGAAGAUUCUGUUGGAGGUUGAAGGAUCUGAAAGCGUUGUGAACAGCACGGACGAGGAAGGUUGGGCGCCGCUGCACUCCGCCUCUAGCAUUGGAAGUGUUCCGAUCGUCGAGAUUUUGUUGAGCAAAGGUAAAGAAGAGGAACAUGUAGUGUUAGUUGGAAGUGCCCGUAGUUUGAAUUGAUUUGAUGACUGGGAGGAUUUUGAAUAGGGGCGGAUGUGAAUUUGAAGAACGAUGGAGGACGAACUGCGCUCCACUAUGCUGCGAGCAAGGGAUGGUUGAAGAUUGCUGAAGUGUUGAUUGCACAUGGUGCUAAAUUGAACGUGAAGGACAAGGCUUGUAAACUUUACUUGACUGUGAUUUGAAUGUGAAUAGCUCGUUUUGUGAAGCUACAUUGUCUUAAUACGGUUUCUCUAAUGCUGUAUUCAGGUAGGAUGCACACCAUUGCAUCGAGCAGCGAGUGUCGGGAAGGCGGAGUUGUGCGAAUUCUUAGUUGAGGAAGGAGCAGAGGUUGACGCUGUGGAUAGAGCUGGUCAAACACCUCUUAUGAAUGCUGUGAUAUGCGAUAAUAGAGAGGUGAGCUUUGGCCAAAAUGCUUUAGAUUUUUCUAUGUUUCUCAAAUGGUAGCCCUUUACUGUCAAUUGGAAGUUCUUUCUGAAUGCUUGCUGUAAACAGGUAGCUCUUCUUCUAAUAAGGCAUGGAGCAGAUGUGGAUGCGGAGGACAAAGAAGAAUACACUGUGCUUGGUCGAGCUUCGCGCGACUUUAGGGAUAUUCUCAUUGAUGCUGCAAAAGCCAUGCUUGAAGGGUGAAGCCUUCCCUGGUAACAUAACUUAGGUUUGGCUCUCCAAUCAGUUGAUUGGUUAUACUAUCCGAACACAUGCUUGUAUGGAUCCUGUAGCAGGGAACAUCUUUCAUCCUCGGUUUUAGUAGCUUCUCCAAGUUUUUUUCUAGCUACAUACAGUUUUGUUAACUCCUUUUAUCAGAAAGGUUGAUAGAAUCUUGAUAACCACAUUUGAAGCUCUAGAAUCUGAGGCAGUUUCCGAUGCCAGAAAGUAUGGAGGUAAUACCUAACUUGCCUCGGAUUCUUGAACUCACACACACCCAUGUGAGUUCAAGCCUGAGGGACUCCGCGAGCCAGUGAGAUGGCUCGAGUGGCUCGUUCGUCAGGUCUGUAGUAUAUGCUUGGUUUCGGCAUUAGGACAGCGUUACCGAUAAUAGACUUGAUAGUUCAACCACAAACACAAAAGAAAGAACGAAGAAUCUAUCGUCUCAGACUGGUAUAAGUAUCGGAAUAUGAAUCAAUCAUCACUACUCUCUUUGUUUCUUUACAGCUAAGGUUCUCAUGCUUAUUCAAUCUACGGGUACUAAUUACUAACUUGGUAGGUUAGUUUCCACACCUAACACAUUCAGUGUGCAUUUAUGAGCGUUGUACAUUGUUUUCAGUAAGAUGCCAAUGUCGAAUUAAAUGUCAUCCAUACCGGAUGAUAAUAAUUUACGGUUUAGCCCUCACUCGACUAGAGCUACCAUGAUCAUGUUUAUAUUUUAUACGUCGAACACAUUUAUGCCAUCCGAUUACUGCUUCAAAUCAUCCGAGAUUGCUACUAUGUGUAGUAAGUUUUCUACUAUAGUAAAUGUUGAAUUACCCGGGAAGUGAGAAACUAUAAUAGCGAUACUAAUCGAAACCUAAUGUCUGCAUUUGAUCAAUUCGAUCCAAUAUGAUGUCACCGAUCGAUUUCGACAAGAGUAAAUAUCGAAUUACGUGAGAGAUUACAAAAAAUUAUCGUGGUAUUGAAGUUUAGUGGAAAAUGGAAAUGGGUGAUGGAAGAAUUGUACUAUGAAUUGACGACAUGGUAUGAUCGUAGCCACAAGAUCCACCUAACCGAACUACCCAAGAAAAACAAAACCAUCUACAUAACCUACAAGUCCGAACUACUACGUAACACACUCUUCUAACUCGCACUUCAAACUCCCUCCCUCUGACCACCGUCAAACAAAAACCAAUGACAACCUCCGACGACCACCGCCCCCACGUAGCCCUUCUCCCAAGCUCCGGCGCCGGCCACCUCAUGCCAUUCCUCCGUCUAGCAGCAACCUUACUCGCCAAAAAUGUCCGAGUCACCUUAAUCACCAGCCACCCAAUCGUCACCGAUGCUGAGUCAUCUCUGAUUUCCCAUUUCCUCGCCGCCUUCCCACAAGUCUCGGAGCAGCAAUUCCACAUCCUCCCCAUAGACCCAUCCACCGCCAACUCCACCGACCCAUUCUUCCUCCAGUGGGAAUCCAUCCGCCGCUCCCUCCACCUCCUCUCCUCCAUCCUCUCUUCCCUGUCCCCGCCGCCGGCAGCCAUGGUCUCCGACAUAACCUUAAUCUCCUCCACCAUCUCCGUCUCCCAGGAGCUUCAAAUCCCCAACUACGUUCUCUUCACUUCCUCCGCCAGAAUGCUAUCUUUGGUAACCCGUUACCCUGCCUUCACCAAAACCCAGAUCGAAUCCGCCGACAAGUUCGAAAUCUCGGGAAUCGGAGACUUACCCAGAUCGUCGAUCCCGCCGUUGCUUCUAAAGCCGGAGUCUUUAUUCGCAACCAUGUUCAAAUCUAACAGCGAGAAUCUCCGCAAGUUCGACGGAAUCCUGAUCAACACGUUUGACAGGCUGGAAUCUAAAGCUCUGUCAGCGAUCAGGAAAGGGGAAGUUGCAGAUGGGUUGCCGCAUUUGUUCAAUGUCGGAUUGAUUCCUCACGAUUUCGAGAGGAAAUUAGGAGUCGGAGGAAGGAGGACGGGAGAGGUGAUGAAAUGGUUGGAUGGGAAGGAGGCGAAUUCGGUGGUGUAUGUGAGCUUUGGAAGCAGGACGGCUCUGUCGAGAGAUCAGAUUAAGGAGCUGGGGAAAGGGUUGGUUGAGUCAGGGUUUGGGUUUGUUUGGGUGAUGAAGGAUAAAGUGGUGGACAAGGAAGAUGGGGAGAGAUUGGAGGAUGUUUUGGGAGAGGAGAUGAUGAAGGAGGUUGGGGAAAGAGGGUUAGUGGUGAAGGAAUGGGUGGAUCAAGUUGAAGUGAUUGGGCAUGAUUCGGUUGGUGGGUUUGUGAGCCAUUGUGGGUGGAACUCUGUGGUGGAAGCUGCAUGGGCUGGGGUGCCUGUGCUAGCUUGGCCGCUUCAUGGAGAUCAGAGGAUCAAUGGGGAAGUGGUGGAAGGGUGUGGGUUGGGGUUUGUGGGUGGGGGGAAUUGGGGGUUGGGUUUGGUUAAGGGGGAGGAGAUUGGGGUUAGGAUUAAGGAGUUGAUGGGUGCUGAGAAGAAGGUGAGGGAAUUGGCUAAGGAGAUUAGGGUUGAGGUUAGGGGUGAUGUUGGGGUUGGUGGGAGGUGUGAUUUGGGUUUGGAUUUGUUGGUUGAGAAGUGGAGUACUUGAACAAGUGUUUUCCACUUAGGGGUUGUGGUCCAAUUGACAGGUUGGAUCUUUAAUAAUGUUACAUUUUUAGAUUAUGUUUGUUACUACACAAGGAAGUUUAAUUGAGUUGAUUAAAGAGCAUUUAGGAAUGUUAUGUUGCUUAAUGGUUACACCCACCAAACAAGCUUAAUGGAUCCAUUAUAGUGUACUUUUCUACUAGUGAUACCACGAUUACGAAGUCCUCAUUCCCACCAAAACGAGGUUCAAUCAAUUCAUAAUAACCACAUGAAAAUGGUACCAAUAUGGUUAACCAUGCCCAUUUAAAAUGAAUAAUCAUAUUUUCUUAGUCCCAAAAAUAAAAUACAAAUACUAUUAAGUGUUUAUACAUAAAGUGUUAAAACUCCAUCUUAAUAUAUUCGAAAUCUCUAACUACAAAACACAAUACGAUAUUUUAAUGGAGCAUGAAACACCAUCUCCCCCAUCUUCCCAGUUUAAUAUAUCUUGAGCCAGAUUCACAGUAGUUCCUCCCUAAAUUACCCAGCUCUGAGAGGCACUUAUUCAAUCAAGAACUCCACUUGUCAACCAACAAAUUCAAACCCACAUCACACUUCCCGCCAACUCCAACAGCACCCCUAACAUGAACCCUAAUCUCCUUAGCAACUACACUAUCUGCUUCAGAAGAUCACACAUGUGUUGCUGCAGAUGGCUUACAUAUAAAAGGAACUGCUGUAAGUAUUAUAUUUUACAUUCAGGGACUAUUAAUUACUCUAUUAGUUGAUAUGUUUUCCAAACUUCUUUUGCUCACAAAACAUACUUCCAUAUUUUCUAUGUUUGUUCAUCCAAAUUGCUGUUUUCUUCUUGUCCACAUUUCUGCUGUCAGUAUUAUUUUGUGAUUCAUUCAUCUAUCAUUCUAAACAUUAACACAGGUUGAAAGGUCACCAGAUGAUAUAGUUGAAAGCCUGGAUAUUCCAACAUCAGCAAAUGGGAAAGAUAGACAUGAAUGUUACCAAAACAAAACAUUAAUCGUGCCUAAGAAUUUUCUUUGUGUACCUGAUACCUUGGAUCCCAUGGAAGGUAAUAUUCUAUCUAGUUAUCAUUACGUUUCGAGUGAUUGACCUAACAACAAAACUGUUUCCCAACACAGAACUGGUCUGAUGUUUGUUAUACUACAGAGUACGCACCAAAUGCUCAGGGGCACAGUACAUGCUUUGACAAAGAACAAUCAUCAAUUGACACUUCCAUUUCAGAAAGAGUGGUUUCUGAAUCAAAUCAAGGAGAUGAAAUAACCACAGGGAUGUCACACGUAGGCAUUGACAAGGAAGAGCCAAUUGUAGCUGACACUUUCAUGUCUGAAGAAGCGCUUUCUGAACCAUAUAUGGAGGAUGAACUGGCUGCAGGAAGUUCAAGUGGAAGCUCUGCGAAGUUUGACUCUGAUUCAGCUGGUCAAGACACAGCAAAUUUAAUGACGACACUUCUGCUUCCACAAGCAAUUCCUCUUCUUAAGGAAUCCUCGGACAAGAAAAGGAAAUCCAAUGCCAUGGCGAAAAACUUUAUUCCUAGAACAAAACCUCAGGAGGAAAAUGAAGAAAUUUCUUAUGUUCAAUUGUCUAAAAUCCAGCAAACUGAGGCUGUUGUUGUAGACAGUUUUGAGGACAAACAAUGUGAGGAUUAUGUUCUAGGACAACCUGUGCUUCUCUCUGACAAUGCCAAAGAACAAUCCGGUGAUAGGGAAGAUGAAAGAAUUCCUCACACUUCUGACGGCCCUCUAGAUCUAGAAUUAAGGGAGGCAGAUAGGGAAAUCUCUGUACCGUCAUCCAAAUCCAUUGCUACAGGAGCAAGGACAACUGAAACCAAGAAGCAAGGCCUUUGUCCAGGUGACAGAAAGGUAUAUACGAGAAAAAAGACUGCUGCUAAAGCAGUAAAGCACAGUGAUCCCUUGUCAGAAAGCAUAAUAUGCAGAAACUAUGGAGAAGGUUGUGAUCCACGAUCUAUUCUCGAUUCUGAACCUUUGAAUGUCAGCCCCUCCAUUGGUGAUGCACAUCAAAAGGAUCUGUCCAAGGAUAGAAUCGGUACUGGAGGGCACCCCCAUUCUUUAGAAGUGGAGAAAAUCACCACGAGUUGCAGGCCUGAGUCAGAUGAUCUACCUAUUUGUGUGUCAACUGAAGGCGAAGGAACUUCAGACGUGCCUAUUUUGUGUGUUCCAGUUUCAGAAGAAAUCCAAUUUAAUUGCAAAGAUAGGUUGGUAGAGCACAGUGCCUUGGUGCAUAUCGAUGGUUCCUUAAUAUCACAGCAAAGAAAUGGGGAUGGAUACAUCAGGUGGUAUAGAAGUUCAAGAUAAUGCUGACCUGAAGCUCCAAAGCAAUUUUGAGCUUCACUUUAACUUAGAGGGCAUUGCUGAGAUUGUGGGCUGCUAUAUCCACCCGCUUCCUGUUUUGCAGCUAUGGUUGAGCUCACAAGAAAAUGAAAUCUACAUUUGUGCCCCAUGUGGCAUUCUGGCGGAUAAACACAGGACCUUGUUUCUUUAUAAGUUAGCCACUAAAGCCCUAACUGCCGGAUGCCCAUCCUUUGUUGGUCAUACGACGGUCAAUUGGCCAUCUCCAGUGCAUAUGUUUGGUAAAGUAAGAUCCCGUUUCCAUAUUUGAAUUGGAUCUUGUGUGCGAAUUUAUGUCAGGGUGCUUACCCUCGCGCUCCUCUUUCUAGGUUGCGCCGGAAAGGUCCAGUUUUCAACUAACCCCAGACGGGCAAUUAUUUGUUCUACAUGGCAGCACGAAAGUUCCUUGUUGCAGGUUGAAAUUUCUCUGGUUCACAUUUCAUAUUUCCCGGUAACAUAAACUAUGCUUCUCCACCUAACACUACGCUCAUUCUCAGAGAAGGGAGAACGGAUGGUUUAUGCUCUACAUGUGAAGCAGAUAGCUGUAGUACCAGCUCUGUGAAGAUUGUACGAGUAUAUUUCGGACAUGUAUCAGUCUUGUUGGAAUUGAGGGCAGAUGAAGAAAUCGAAUGCAUCCUUGUCUGUGAACCUAAUAAUCUAGUUGCUGCUGUUGAAAGCGGCAAACUGCAUUUGUGGACCAUGGAUUCUACGUGGAGGUGAGCUUUAUCUAACUGUCAAACGUUCGGUUCCCUUUCUGCGAAUGCUCUCCUGUAUAUCUCAUCGAGUACUGCACUACUGUUCUCAUCGUCUUAUCAAUUUCUCUGUCUGCAGCACUUCAAAGGAGGAGCACACUAUAUCAAACACGGGUUACUAUUCUCCUCGAAUUGUGGAGUUAAAGAGGAUUCCUAAACCUGAAUCUCUAGUUCUAGGCCACGAUGGCUUUGAGGAAUUUACACUAUGGUAUGUCCUUUAAUGCAUCUAGACAUGUUUAUAAUGAUUCUGUUCCUUGACAUGGUUCCUUGACAUUGUAUUUUGUGUAUGUUCUUUCAAUCUAUGUUGUAUCCUUACUCACCCAACUAUCAUGAUCAGUCUACUGUUCUGCAUUUUCUUAUAACCAUAGUAUGCCAGCAUAUGUACUCUUCUGAUAAACUCGGGAAAAUGCAAUGUUUACUAAAUUGUAAAGCAUCAAGUUUACAUUCCUGCACAUGAGUAGUUGGCGCUCCUCUCCGUCUCCCUUCAGAAUGCCAUUUUCAAACUGGUUCCGUUGCCGUUUCAGAAUGAGCUGAUAUGUAGUAUGCAGAUUCUAACUCUUUCCUGUAACUCUUUCAGGGACAUCUCCAGACGAACCUUUGUUUUGAGAUUCUCCUCUCCAGGAACUUCAAUCCAUGCGUUCAACCCUAUCAGCUGGUUCAGCUGGCAACCACAGCUCACUGCCCAGAGGACCGUACCAGCAGAAUGAUGGAAGCCACAAAAUCAUCAUUAACAGAUCGUCCGUUCCCUCACAAUGAAGGUGAAGAUAUCGCCAUCUGGCUUCUCGUCUCAACCAACAACGCAACCGACCGUCCAACAGAUGAUCCAGUGGUAUCCUGGAGGCUGGCUCUAAUGGCCCAAAAUACCAUGAUCCUCGGACCCACGUUGGAUCCAGGGUGAGUUAGAAUUUUCUAAGUUGGAACUUUGGAGACAAUUGUCAGUAAUUCUGAGACUUGGUGAAUCUCUUGCUUUUUUUACAGGGCAGUAGCUGUCGGCGCAAUAGUUGGCCGUGGAGUCAUUGCCACUGACGAUGGAGUUGUGAGCAUGUGGGACUUGUUGACAGGGAACAGACUCGGCAGUCUCCAUCAUUUCAAAGGUAAGCUUUUGGUCGGUUGAUUUCCAUCGAACUGAACUGUGGAGCGUGGACAGUGGAGCUGCACCUUUUGGUUCGAAUCGAAUUGCAAGAUUUGUGAUUUUGAUUUGGUUUGGAAAAAAACCCACGUUGACAGUGACUGGUGGUUUUGUAAUUUUGGUGAUAUAUCCCAGAUGGAAGGGUUUCGUGCAUUGCAACAGACGAUUCAUCAUCAAGCUCGAGUUGUUUUGCCGUUGGUAGCGAAACAGGUCAGUUAGUGGUCUAUCGACACUUGUAAAUUGGCCUCCAAGAGGCUGUAGUUUUCCCAUUAGGAGUAAUUUGUAUGUUUUAACAUCAACAUUUUUUAACUGCCAACACUGUAAAAAGGUGAGUUUUCCUAUCACAUUAUGAAGUAAAAAGCUUCAAGACAUAGAGAAAAAAGCUUUAACAAUUUGUAAUUUUUAAUCUCGUUGAAUCCCUUUGAAACCAUGAUUAUAAUAAAAAAAAUGUUUCGAUCAUGGUUCAAACUCACGACCACAAAGUUAAGAGUUUUGUGCUCGAGGAACUGCACCAAGCCUAGCUAACUCAGGAACGAAAACAUCUGCAUUCUUUCUCAUAAAAAAAACUUUGAAAUUGUUGGUGUACGAAAAUGGAUUAAAUAUAUUGCACUAAUAAACCAUAGUAAAUUGGUAUAAGAAAGUUGACUUAAUUAUUUUCAUUAUGGUUUUGCGGUGAUAAUCACCAAACAAUAGUGAUUUUAAGUGUGGCGGACUACCGCCACUUCCAACCUACCUGGAAAAUAUUUACAGUGUGUUGUUUAUUAAUGCAAUAUAUUUACUCCAUUCUCGUCCGCUGCACCCAAUAGUAAUUUUGUCUCCUGUCAUCGAUUAGCAUGCUGAAUUCAGUGACAUCCUCAAUCCCUCCGUUGGCAGCUCGAACUACCUCUUGGCAAUCGGAUUCAAUCUCCACUGUACCAAAAGAUCAAGAUCCCUGGAGCUAAGCCACUCAAUGGUAUUCAGUAAAGCCAUCGCUUCACUCUCUCUACCAUCUCGAUAGCCCUGGAAGCUCCGUUGUCUUGACACGAUGAGCGAGUCUGCCACGUCCCGGAUGACUGCACCACUGCCCAAUCGAGUCUUUCAAAUCACAUUUUGAUAACCAGUGAUCAGACCCCAUCUAAUACCGUGGGCCCAAAAAACAAGCCUUAGGCCCAGAGAAUUAUAACUGGCUGGGAAAUGAAUUAGCUGCUGCACUUUAGGGUUUUCAGAAGCAAAAGCACCCCCUAUAUAAACUCGCGUAGCUUCAGCUCCAAUAAUUGAGUCAUUCAUUCAUCUUCUUCGCCGUUGCAGUCUGAAAUGGUUCUUCCCACUGUUUUUAUUCGAUCUAGUUUUCCUGUGCUUUUUAUAGGAUCGUCUCUUCGAAUUCGAUCUGUUAGUCCUCUGUUUUCUAGUUAUUUUUCCAAUUGAUCGGCUCUAUAUCACGAGUCAACAGCAGGCGCCUUCCAAUGGCGACCCGACUGCCGCUUAGAGCCAAAAUUAAAAAUUUUAGUUUCCGGAAGAAGACCCUUGAAACCUAUAAUAUCCGUUUGUUUCAAGAUACAAUAGCCCGGUUACAUUUCUGCUCUGCAGAUGAGAUAUAUAAUUUUCUUCAAAUCUGGCUUUUCUUGAAAACAAAAAAGAUUUGUGUAUGGAGGUGGCAUUGAAGUCAGACACGGAUGUUUCGGGGUUGGUAAACAGUGCCCAAUUCAUCUUUUGCAUGGUGCCGAAAUGCAGGUGCUUCUUAUCACGAUUGGAGGGAGUUUUUCCUACUCUGUAACUUCCCUUCAAAUUCCAAGAAGCCAUAUCUCGCCUUACACUACUUCUUUUACCAUUUUUGUUCUUGCCUGAUUCUUUUUUUCCCUUGAAUUUAAUAUAAAUUUAAGCAGUAUUCUAUGUCAAUGAAGUACUAAACCCAGAUUCUUUCACCUGGCUAUGUUUGUUGGAUGGAAUUAUUGAUAGAAUUUGAUGGGAAGUGACCAUAUUGUAGGAGGAUUAAAUAUAAGGUUAAGAACCUUACGUUCUAUGAACUGAGCUUAGACAGACUAGAUUAUUGGAGUUAAAGUAUAUAUUUUUAAUGUUAUUGAUUCCCGUUGAUCCCUUAGGAUGGAAUGUUCAUGCUCAAACUGUCGGAAACCUGUAUGCCCACUGUGUGGCUAGAACCCGCGAUCAUGAGAUAAAGAGGGCUCGAGCCCACCACCACCCCAAAGUUAAAGAGUCUUGUACUCUACUGACUGAGAGACAACAUGGCUUGUUGGCACAACAUACCACCUUUCACGGGGUCGAACACCAGCUCUCUUAGUAUGGCAUUUACUUGUGCCAGGGUGAGAAUUUUGAGUUCGUGACUGCCUGACUGGAGGAAAGCUAAAGAAAACAGACGACAAAAAGAGAACGAAAGUGACGUGAAAUACAACUGCAUGUUUGAGAAGUAGACUUGCAGUCACACUUCUGCCGUGUGAAUCAUACGUUACAGAACAUAGAUACAAUGUUAGAGACAGCCAUGACAACAUAUCUUUCAAAAGAAAUCUAGUGGCACGUGGAAAUGCAGAGCUAAAACGUCACAGCAGGUGAAAACAGCUACAACAUAGACUUGGCAUCACUGAGAUCGAAAUAAAACCUCUUUAAUCCGAUACGAUUCUUGCAAAUGCCGAGACCAAAAUGGGAAAUCAAAAUAACACAGUAUAAUCACUCAACAACCUGUAACAAACAUUAUGCAGCAACUAACAAUAAAUAACAUGAUAAAGAUUAAUACUAUGGAAAAUCUCCGCAAGUAAAAACUCUCUCUGUGACCUUAAAAAAAGAUUAAUACUAAGUAAAGUCUUGCUCUACUUGGUGGCUCAUUUAGCAAUGGCGGAUGCUGGAGUGUCGGAGGAAGGGUUCAGUUCAUCCCAAGCUUCGAUCCAGGUAACCAUAGCAUCUGCAAGUUUUUCGAAGUAAGGAUCCACCUUCCCCAGCUUCUCCUUGACUUCCUUGGAGAGCUCGAUGUAGCAUUUCUGGACAGAGGUUGCUUCCUUGGAGAGCUUCACAGAUUGGAAGAAUGGGAUGAUCUCUUCCUGCCAGUAUAUCCCUUUAUACUCCUUUUUCAGGUUCACAAAUGGGUUGCUGGCCUUGCUAUGCCAUAUGUACGGCAGCCCUGUCUUGAUCCCCCAUCCCAUAUGGUCACAGAUCACCUGCAUCGAAUAGACGAAGAUGAAUUACCUCAUAGCAAAUAGGGCCGGGCCAAUCUGCAAUGUGGUGACUAUUAUCGAUAAGCAGUAAAGAUUGUUUCUUUCACCUUAACCAACCCUAAACCCAGUAGACUAUAUAGUCUAAUAGGGUCAAAUCUACGAUACGAUGACUAAUGUUGAUGAGCAGUAAAGACCGUUUCAUUUACCUUGACACACCAACCGGCCCACAUGUCAUCGUAUCGGCCGAUUGGCUGACCAUCUCCCAUUAGUCCAAAGUACAAUGCAGGUCCGACGAGUUCACGGUCGAACGCUAAGUUCAUGCCACACAUUGGGAACAGGGUUCCCUUGGGGAUCGUCAGGACAGCAUCAACAUACCUGCAUUGUCCAUAAAAUUAAAUCCCAUAACAUUAAAUCAUUAAAAUCUAGAAACCCCCGAAAACAAUUCAUCACCAAGGGCAUGAAAUACUGGCGAAACCUACCUGGUGUUCCUUUCCAGUGGCUUCACAAGCUGAGUAGGAGCAUCAUAAUCAGGGAUGUUAAGCCACAGACCAUGAGAGACUGCAGUGGUAACACCUUCACGGAGACUGAAAGGAUACCCGCGAACAAAGUCAGCACCUUCUCUGUACGGAUCGUAGAGGGUGUUGAAGAAGUGUGGAGUCGAUGGAGACAAAAGGUUUUUGAUGUGCUGCUCCAGUGCAUUGAUCUGCUGUCCCGAGGGAUCCGAGGCCACCUGCAAUCAAACAAAAUCACACAACAAGCCUCUCAAGAACAGAUUAAACCCUAUGAAAUCAAGCUGAGAGGGCCAUGAAUUGAAAGUUGAUACCAGGUCUGCUUCUUAUAUAUCAACAAGGACUUGCCAUUUUGAACUUGUUCAAGCCCAUGAACCACAUUCAAGCUCUCCAAUUCGCUAUCACUAAUCUCUUUCGGGGAAAGCCAAUCACUCUCCAAGAUUAUAAGUAUUAAGGAAUACAAUAUAAACCAAUUUUGAACUUGUUCUAAACAACUCGAGUUAUUAGAGCCUUUGAGUGAAAGUUUGAAUCAUACUAGUGCCAACAUAACCAAUUCAGGUGCACGAUGAUACAUAGACCAAAUCGAGUUAUUAAGAUGCAAUGGUUCUCUAUGCUGAUCAAUCAUCUUAACCAGUCAUCUAAUCACAGAGAGUUCAGAUCGAGAACUAGCUAUCGAAAUUAGACAGUUGACAGUAAUCAUUAACAAGCAAGCAACCAAGUCAAACGCAAGUCAAAACACACAAUCAAUUCAACCAUAAUGUUUUUCAAAUUUUCAAUCAAGAGUGAAUAACUUACGAAGCAAUCGUCAUCAAUGGUGUAGAUGUACUUCUUCUUGGACACCAUGAACCCGAAGCACCUGCAAGCGGAAUCCUUGAAGGAAAUGCAAGAAGCCUUCGGACCCAGAAUCCUGUUGAUGUCGUUCCUGUUGUAGAGUUCAUAGUCAAAUCCUUCGGGGACUUUGAUGACCUUGGACGGAUCCCCAUCUUGGACGAUGAUGAGAUGGUAAGGCUGGAAGAAGGGCCUCCAUUUCUCCAAGAAGUCCAGGUUCCGGAUCGUCGGGAUCACGAUAUCAAGCUCGUCUUGAACUGGAAUACAAAAAUCAAGUAUAUAACCAUAAUCCUAAACCGAGUACAACAAACUUAAUACUAAAAAUUAAGUACAAAUUAAACGAUUGAGUACAUAACCCACAACAACAAUUAAAUAAAGUACAUAAGCUUAACAAAAAAAAUUAAACCGAAUAUAAAACCUUAACAAACUGAAUGCACUAACAAAAUCAAAACAAAAAGAACUUAGAGAAAUGAAGAGGCAAUUAAAAAUAUGAGAGUGACAAUUAAGAAUUGACUCCACGAAAAAAGGAUGAGAGUGAGGAUGAGAAGAAGAGAGUGAGGAUGAAUGGACUUCCAAAAGAAAGAAGAAAUAGAGAAGAAGAAGAAGAAGAAGAGAAAAAGAAGUAAGAAAAUGAAAUAAAAAGCCAUGUGAGCGGUUAGAUUGAAUAAUUAAAUGGACAGUUGAGAUUUUUCCUUGCUGCGGCAAGGAUUUCUAUCUUAUUUGUUGUUGACCCGUAAUCGUCAUGGAUCUCUGCUUUGUUUUUUUCUCCAGUUUGAUGAAUGUUGGAUUGUUGGGCUUAUUAGAUAAAAUAUCAGAUGCUUAUAUGGGCUAUUAGGCUGGGCCUAUAACAUUUAUUCACUCCUCCCUCCUGGGGUUUUAGGCGAUUGUUAACCCAUUAUCAUUUUUUUAAUCCAAGAUAUAUACACAAGAGAGUAUUAAUGAACAAUAACUGUAAAUCUGACGGGCCUAUGUCGAGAUCGAGAUAAUUAAGAAUCUAACGUGUUAUAAGGUUGGUGGUGAUGCUAUUUUGGCGUUAAAUUUCCUCUAAUAAUGAUUAUAUGUACCCUUAAAGUAAAUUGGGUUCAAAUUAUGUAUAUAAAGCCGGUGCCCCGAAAGCUUGCCCGCCCCAACCCGAUUUGAUCGGAUUAUUGACCCGGGUUUACCUGCCACCCUGAUCUAUUGGGUUUGGGCAGGGUUUCGGAAGGUCCAAAUCCGCCUCGGCAACCCGAAGGGGGUAAUUGUUAGGAUUUUUCCGCGAUUUCCUAGUCCCCUACUCCCCCUAAUCAAUCUUCCCCCGCACCGCAACGCCAUCAUGACUACAAUAGUAGGUAGAAUUUUAGGGAAGAAGGAAACCCAGAUUUGAAAUGGUUCAAUUAAAGGACAAGCCUGAGAUGCCUUAGUUAACUAGCAUUGGUGGUAGCUGCUAAAGAGGUACAUUCUGUUCAUGAGUUUUUCUUAAACUUAUCAUUCAUAAUUAAUGUUGUUAUGGCUUCUUGCAGGCAUUAUGAUGAGUUUAGAGAUCGCAAGUAAGCUGGUAUUGGAUGAACUUGAAUCUGAUACAGAUUCUAACCAUAUCAAUAUUCUACCACGAGCUUGUAAUAUUCGCCAGAGUUCACAUUUAAAUUUAAUAUCUAUCCUUAUCCGCUUAUAUAAUUCAACUUACAGUGUGCUAGAGAACAUAAAAGGGAUGUUGUAACUAACUUUAGCCAUGUUGCCUAUAUGCAUGGUUUCAUAAACACACUAAGUUUAUGUUAUAAAUUGAAAAGAAAUGAAUUAUAAAGUAAAAGGACGGAGAUGCAAAACCAGAGAGGUAUUUGUUGUGGUGAAGUGGAGGCCAAGCAAAGAAGCUUUCUUCCCCAAUCCAUCCCCUACUACUCUUUUAAUUCUCAGCUCUAAAGCACCCACUUCCUAACCCAGCCAAUCUCUCUUUCUUUCCAAACCGUAGCUGUCAACACCAUCUUCCCAAUCACUCCGCAAAGUUGUUUACCAGUUCUCUGGUCUAAUUUUAGCUCUAAUUUCCAGCGGGGGUUACGUACUGGCAAGAUCACUACAUUGUCACCCACAAAUUAAAUGGGAUCGAACGAAGGUGUGAUGAAGCGGUCGGAAGUUGACACUCGGGCGCCGUUCCGAUCUGUUAAAGAGGCGGUCACGUUGUUCGGAGAGAAAGUUUUGGCCGGCGAGCUUUACCCCAACAACAUGCUUAAACAGGUGGUGUUUCACUUUGUAGAUUGAUUAACGAGUCUGGACACAGGGAUAUUGCUUCUCGAAUUCAAUUUAAGAUCAAUCUGGAUCCUCGGAUUUCUAUAUGAUUUGAGGGUUAAGAUUAAUCAGGGGUAAUAUAGUUAUGUUGUUUUAAAUAAUUUUGUUGGACUAGAACCCAACCAUCUCCUGUCACCGGAAAGUUUUCAAUUAAUUUCUCGGGGAUGUGGACAGCGUUGGUGAAAUUUUUUGCACCCACGUGAUCACCUUCGUUGACUCUAUGUUUCUUGAAAACUUCUAUUUUUCUGGAAACAUUCUCCGAUGACGGACCGUACAACUUUAUAUGUAGAGUUGUAUGAAUCAUGCAAAUAUAUAUAGGUUUGUACAAACCCGUACAUAAAUGUAUAUACAUUUAUAUGAAUUUUUUACAAAGUGUAAUACUAUGAUAGUUAAUAAACACAUUUCUAAUGACUGAAAUUUCAAUUUUACCCUUAAACACAUUUCUAAUGACUGAAAUGUCAAUUUUACCCUCGUGAUUUCAGCCGUUAAAUCUAAUGCACGAUUUGUAAGACGGCUUAGAUUUAUGCGGGUUUAAUGGAUCCGAUCAAGAAGUCAUUUUAUUGACUUCAGAUUUGGACUGUUGAUAAACUGACGUCCAGUAUAAGGGAAAGUGCAAUAUAGCCACUGAAUUAGUUUUUCUAAUCAAGACCAUGCAGCAGGUUGGUCGUAAUGGAAAGCUAGACACAAUGACAUGUCAGCUGGAAGAAACAAAACAGAGCCUGGAAAAGGCAAAGGAGGAAAGCACACAAAUGGCGAGCUGCCUCUCCCAUCUUAAACAAGAGCUUGAACAAACAAAGCAAGAGCUCCAAAGACUCAAACAGGUGAAGGAAGUCCAGAUGAAGCAAUCGACCAUCUCGAUUGACCCGCAAUCCGACAUCCACCAUGGCCAACAAGACGUGAAACUAGUGACGGUACCAGAUGAAGAUGUGGAGUUUCAGAAGAAGAGGUACGUGACAUUUGCUAAUAAUGAAGGAGUAUUUGAUAAUGAUCGGAGGCUGGAGAGACAUCCUUCUUUGAGAAAGAAGAAGAAGAAGCCGUUGAUUCCUUUGAUUAUUGGAGGACUCUUCUCCUCUUCUAAGAGAAAGGGACACCAUCACCACCACCAUGAAAUUGCUUAAAGUUUGCUGUAGGUGCAUAGUCUGAAUAAUCUUUCUCGUGUGAGACGAUGACUUCUGUUGUACUUUUUUGGCCCCCAAUAUUCCAGUUCAAGAACUUGUACACUUACCAACUUAAACAUGUGUGCAUAGGUAAAACAAAAGAUAACAAUGCAUGAAAAAAGGAAAGAGGCUAGGAGCUAAUUAACACAAUAGUGAAAAUCUCUAAGUAUAAUUAUCUUCCCGAUAGACGGCUGAAGCAAUCAAACACCAGAAUAUUGCGUGAUUUCCAAGUCAUGUAACCAGUUACCGAAGAUCACAUACGAUCGAUACCAGUUACAGACGAUUAUAACAUGUUAUAUGCGAUUAUAAUCAGUUAUAUAUGAUUAUAUAUUACAUAUGAUUAUAACUCAUUACAUAUGAUUAUAACAUGUUACUCAUUUAACAAGUUAUAGACGAUUAUAAUUAGUAACUUGUUAUAUAAAUGAUCAUAACAUGUUACCCACUUGUUGUCAACCCCAGAUUUCCCGUCCCCGGCCCCGAAGGAAAAAUGGGGAUAGAUUUGAUACCGUCCCGUCCCCGUCGGAGACCUGGAUUUCUAGAUUUUACCCGUUUGGUAGAACAAAAAAAAGCAUGAAAACCAAAACAUAAAAACAUGAGUAUGAGCAACAAAGUAUCAUAAUAUCAAGUCUGUUCCAUGAAAAUUGGAAAUCAAACAUCAAGUCUAUUCAAACCCAGAAUUACUCGAAAAUAGUAAAAACGAAGGCCGCACAUCAAUGCUUCAACUGUUUUAUGAUGUAGUCGGCUGCGAUGAGGAUCAAGUAAUCGACUCCCCUAAACUGAAAGCUGAUUCUAAAACCACAUAUGUGAUUGGCACAACAAAGAAAUCCAACUAUUGUCGACAUAAUGAUCAGUAACAACCAUAUAUCCCUUUUUUGGCAAUUAUCCGACUACUUUUUUGACAAAAAUUUAUAACUAAUUAUAUUUUGUUAAUAACUAAUCAUAAUUAUAACCAAUUAUAUUUCAUAAUAACUAGUUAUAAUUACCCUUUAAAUAACUUGGUUAUAAUAAUAACUAGUUAUCAAAAUAUAUAACCAAUUGUAUAAAAUUUAAUUAAUUAUAAAUUAUAACUGGCGUUAAUAAAUGCUUAUAACUCGUUAUAUUUAACAUCUAACCGAUUAUUAAAAAAUACUUAUAUAAAUAAUUAUGAAUAAUUCCUUUUUCAGCUCCUAACCUUUUUAUGGCUUUAUGCGGUUUCGUUUUUUUCAAAUUUAGUCCUUCACUUUUGAAUUUUUGCAAAACAGCCCAUUGUCCUUAAUUGUAAAAAGUUCAAAAGUUACUGACCACGGAAGUAAAGUUCAAAAGUCUCAAACAAUAUGCAGAUUGGUCACUUAAAUUCUGAAAAGUGCUGGAUGGUCACUCUCCCUACCAAAUCUGAACAUCAUCGCCGACGAGUCUCACCGUGGCAUCUUCAUCUCCUCCUCCCCGAUGACGACGACUUGACCUCUGCUCACACCGUCCCAGAUUCAACCAGAUAUGGAGGCGUCGCAAUUUUCAACCGGAUCUUCAUCGGAUCUCAACCUCCUCUGCCGAAGUUCGUCGACUUAAUUGGCACUGGCAUUAGUAUUUCAGGUGCAUCCGUAUCGGUCAACUCUAUUUGACCGGGUAAUUUCAGCUUGUGAUGGGUGGGUUUCGGGUGGGUACCUAAGUACUGGGUUGGGUUUUCCAUCCUUAUUAAAUAGAAAAAUCAUACAUACAAUCAAUUAAUGGCAUCUCAUGCCCAAUAUAAACAAUAUAUAUAAUUUAUUUUCAUGCAUAUAAUUGUCUUCUUUAUAGACAUAUAUAAACUCGAUUCCUCACACCUAUAUAUCAAGUAUUCAUAAAUUUGGUCUCAACGACAGAGAGUUGGUAAACCCAUGCCGUCCUCUCACCAUAUUAAGCUCACUCCGUAUCAAACACACACUCAUGUGUUCAUACUUCAUACAAUAUGUGAGUCUUAAACACUUCUUCAUAUCCGAAAGAUUGUGUGACAUGUAAAAAUUUAGAGGAAAGUUUCGAUCUUCUUUUUUAUUGAGCGUGGCUCGAAAAUAAGAAAAUUCUUAAAAAAUAAGGAUAGAGAAGAUAAUGCAUACUCCAAUACAGAACAAUAAACCCUAAAGAAAAGUUGUGAUUUUAUUUACGAUAGAGCAUUUCUCGAACUUUCCAAUCACAUCAUACACGGUCCAGUAUAGAAUAUACGAAUCACUAAUAAGAACAUCAUAGACAUUACAGACAACUAAACUGCCAUCGACUGAAUGACUAAUUACCUUCUUAAUAGAUACGAUUGAAGCUUUGUUUACGUCAAUUUUUGGGUUUUCAUGAACUCAGGUCCAAGUCUGAGGAACUCAGUGGUCUCGCCGACAAAUGGGAAUCCAAGGGUUCCAGGAGGCAAUCCUUUCUUCUUGUACCUGAUGUCAUUCCAUUUGAAGACAAUGAAAAUGCAGGAGAUGAAUGCCAGGAUCAGAUCAUAGGCUAACCCAAACAAAGCCAUUGUUGAAUCUUGUUUGCUAGUUUGUUCUCCUGUUUCUUUUGAUAUUGUGAUGAAUUUAUAUGCCAUCAGGAUAAUCCUAUUCACUAAGUUGCCUUGUUAUAAAUUUGUAGUAAAUGGAAACCAAAUUAAUCAUAUUUUCUUUUACAUUAAUUGGAAAUCUGAAUUUGUUCCACUUCAUAGUGGUCAUACUUAUUAAAUAGUUAAAUCUUAUCAGGAAGAGUACCAAACUUUUCCGAUUCUGUUUCCUGCAAACUCUAAUCCUUUGAACAGAACAGAAUGUUCAAAGGAUUUGCAGUAAUGUUAGGAUAAAAAGUUGCAGCCUUUUGUGGGAAGCUUUGUCUGAAAUUUACCCUUUGCUAUUAUCCAUGAACCAUUUUAUAUCAAAGAAAAUUACCAACGUCUCGGUUCAAUGACUACGAGUUCAAUCUAUUUUUCACUUGUACCGGAUCGAGACUUCAGUAUUCAUAAAUGUACGGUUAGCAACAGUUCAGGUACACAGUUGAAUCGAUUUUUCCAUUUAGGCGGUUUUAAAUGGUAUCAUGGAUACCGGAAUCCAACUUACACUCAUAUCUGCCGAUUUUCGGUUAUAACCGCAGGCUUAAUUUUGAUUUUGAUCAAGACUUCAUCAUUCUCAGACCAACUAACUAGGCUUUUUCUUUCUAACGCAGUAACACUGCUGUAAUAAUCCUGAACUAACAUGAGAGGAUUUCUCUGUACACAUUGCAUUCCGUAUCAGGUCAAUGGACACAACAAUACUUUUGCAAAGACAUGGAACUCCAUCCAUAGCUUUCCUAUAGUCGGGAGCUUAGUUCAAUCUCUUUGGAUGCUGCAGUUCGAUUGUUACUGCUAUCUUGAGAGCAUAUGUAAGAAAGUGAUUGCAUCCAAGAGACCAGUGAAGGCUUGCGAAUCACGUCAUCAGAUUCAGCGACAUGUUCAUAUAGCUCGUCAAGGAUCGUGUUUUGGCCAUCUUUAGGUAGCUGGAUGAUCAGCUGCGCCAGUUGCUUCAUCAGGUAAGGUAGCACCUGGAAAUGGAAUGGUAGAAUCAUGAAUGUACGGUAUCAGCAAGUUCAAAUUUACUUUAUUUUUGUUUUUUCUGUAGCUAGUGUGACAGUUCUGUGAUGCUUACUUGAAUAUCGACGAGGGAAACGAAUCGAAGAAGCAUAUCGAAAACCUUCUUGCAAGGCUCCAACUCUCCUUGCCAGUUCUUCCAGGAAUCAGCAUUUUCCAUGGAGACGUUCGAACAGAGGUUCUGUGCCUUUUCGACGAUGCUGUGGAUGCAGUAGAAUAUGGCUGGGCUUCCUGCUGGGAGAUUCUGGAUCAAAUGUGCGAACCCAGAUGCCAUACCGUCGAAAGGAGUAGAGCCCGGAUAGUCCUGGUCAUGAUCAAGAGAAAAAUAAUCAGUUACCAAGAUUAAAGCUUUCUGAAAAUUUGGAAAUUUGGUCUCUUUUUACUUACUGAGAGAGAUUUCUGCACAUAGUAAAAAGCAAGUUGCUCCUUCAAUGAUACUGUUUCGCCACCAUCCGACUCCUUACCCAAAGAAACGAAUGCCACGAACAUAGAAUGCGAGGCUCGAGCUAUCUGCCCAUGUGGAUGUUCCAUAUAUCUGACAGCAUCUAUGUAAAGGAACCAAAAUUAAGGCUAUCUGAUUAAGAACAUCAUAAAAACAAAGUGCCUUUUGAAGGAUACAAGAACAUAGUUGGAGCCACCACGUUGCUGAAUAGAUCUGCAGGAAGGCGCUCGAUGCACGUAGGAAUAACGCGCAGGUAAAACAAUAUCCUGGAAGUCUGCACUUCAUCCUUCAACCAAGUAUAUUGCACUUGCUGAUGGAAAUCUGGAGACAUAUCAUUCGGAACUCUUAGUGGAUCAGAGUAUGCAAAAAGUAACUUGAUGAGAAUCGACUCUUUUCAGUACGAAACGUGUUACCUUUAGGGUUUGUCAGAUCAGCAUAACAAGGCAUGGAUUCCACGAAAGAGCUGCAAGCAGCCUCAUUCUCCUGUACACUUACAACGACACCUCGUAUCGUGUCCAUAUACUCAGGUAAGCGAAUACGACGAAAGUACUCCAUGCAAGAGAACGAGACUAAUAUCGAUACUGAUGUCUUCAUCAGAGUUUCGAGGGAGAAGCUUGAGCUCAACUUGUGCUUACUAACAGUCAAGGCAAAAACAACAACCAUAAGGAAGGAAGACUCAGCAAUUUUCUCAAUAUUCGCAAGCAACGGAUCUUCUCUACCACGAAGCAAUAAAGCUGCCCGCCGAUGGCCUGAAUAUAUCUCUUGGCAGAAGCGCCAAACCGCAUUCUCAACGAUGUUCUUGCCCUCUUCAUCUGCUGAGACAUACUGGUUGCAGAAAACAGCACUUACGGCCCCUGCUUCUUUGAAAAGAACACUAUUCAGGUGAUUGUUUACUUCGUCGAACUCCAGUAGUGGUGAACUGACUGAAGCAACAAUUCUCGUGUAAAAACCUCGCAAAGGGAAUAUCUCGGUCAGUAAUGCUGUAGCAAGAGACAGUAGCAGAGGAACUCGGGAAGAUACUGAGCCAGCUCGAGCUAAAGCUAAAGAAACACACUGGAAUAGAAGACUGGUUGAACCAUCAUUGACCUUAGCGUUUAAUUUCUGUGCGAUGGAUUCUAGCAUAUAUUCUGAAGAAGCCCUCAAUCUGGAAACCAAAUCCAACCGUUGACCAAUCGGAACCGAUCUAUUUAAUGCUCUGAGAACACCUCCUGCAGCCAUAAUAAGGGAAAAUGGUGGAUAGUCUGGUUUUCGGGUUUCGAGAACCUCUUUUGUAAAAGUUUCUAGCUUUUCCUGAGAACCUAAUUUCAUGAUACCAGGUAUAACCCAUUCUACCAAAUGCAAAAUCAUGAGACCGUUUGUUAAGCUACUACACGGUCCGUCUUCCUUUCCCCAAAUCCCCAUUAACGAAUCCAAAACCCUAUGAUAGUGUACAUUCACGGAAGAACACAAGGCAUACCCGAUCCCGGCAAGAAACACUUCAACUGAACGAGCCAGUCUAUAGUCUUCCUCCAACAGUCUCGAAACCAAAUCUAGACAUACUGUUUUAGAACGUUCCGAUGCAGAGGUCACAUAUGAAAGGGCACCUAGAAGAAGAAUUGUAUACGAAAAUAACACCGAGUCCUUUGUAGCUCCAUAUUCGCUCGCCACAAACUUGGACAAGACCUCUGCAGCUGAAUCUAUUACCAUAGAAGAUGGUCUAGAGGACUUCAUAACCCAGACAUAUAGCAGCCGGAGCAAAAGAGGAUGUGCUUCGCUAGGAAGAGCGAGUUUCUCCAAAAUGGCAAGUAAAAGCUUUGCUUGAGGAUCAGCAACGUAAAGAGAAUCUUCGGAGUCUCUCAGAAGGGUCAAAGACUGCAGGUGACGGGGUUGGAAUACUUGGCUGUGAAGGCAGUCUCUAAGAUCAGCCCAUGCUUGAAUGAUGUUACCAGUAGACGAAGAGGAAAACUGGCUUGUGGUGGUACUGCUACUGCUACUGCUACUGCCACUAAUGCUGUUGCGGCAUUUCUCCCGCUUGUGGUGGGACUGCUACUUCUACUGCUCCUGCCACUAAUGCUGCUGAGCCAUUUCUCGAGAAAUAGAGUGUUUCUUUGUCUAGACAUCUUGUUACUGUCACAAUUGAAAUUUGAACACACCAGUUUUUGUUCAAACUGAUCUAGAGGUUCACUUUUCCACCAGCACUAAAAGCAUUUGCUCCUCUCCCUUCACAUCUACAAACACCAUUCACAAAUAGUAGGUCUUAUUCAUUGCAGUAAUCACACUCUAACUACAUUACUUAUGAAGCACAUUGACAGUUUUUCUUUUCUAACUAGUUUUGAC